This 447-nucleotide ribosomal RNA is filed under the name uncultured bacterium. RNAcentral's name for it is "partial 16S ribosomal RNA". It matches the Rfam family "Bacterial small subunit ribosomal RNA", at positions 29 to 523 of the family's 1533-position model. The record is from RNAcentral.
AACGAACGCUGGCGGCAGGCUUAACACAUGCAAGUCGAGCGCCCCGCAAGGGGAGCGGCAGACGGGUGAGUAACGCGUGGGAAUCUACCCAUCCCUACGGAAUAGCUCCGGGAAACUGGAAUUAAUACCGUAUACGCCCUACGGGGGAAAGAUUUAUCGGGGAUGGAUGAGCCCGCGUUGGAUUAGCUAGUUGGUGGGGUAAAGGCCUACCAAGGCGACGAUCCAUAGCUGGUCUGAGAGGAUGAUCAGCCACAUUGGGACUGAGACACGGCCCAAACUCCUACGGGAGGCAGCAGUGGGGAAUAUUGGACGAGGGGGGCAACCCUGUUCCAGCCAUGCCGCGUGAGUGAUGAAGGCCUUAGGGUUGUAAAGCUCUUUCACCGGGGAAGAUAAUGACGGUACCCGGAGAAGAAGCCCCGGCUAACUUCGUGCCAGCCGCCGCCGUAA